AUGCACGCUGGCGGCGUGCCUAAUACAUGCAGGUCGAGCGAACAGACGAGGAGCUUGCUCCUCUGACGUUAGCGGCGGACGGGUUAGUAACACGUGGAUAACCUACCUAUAAGACUGGGAUAACUUCGGGAAACCGGAGCUAAUACCGGAUAAUAUAUUGAACCGCAUGGUUCAAUAGUGAAAGACGGUUUUGCUGUCACUUAUAGAUGGAUCCGCGCCGCAUUAGCUAGUUGGUAAGGUAACGGCUUACCAAGGCAACGAUGCGUAGCCGACCUGAGAGGGUGAUCGGCCACACUGGAACUGAGACACGGUCCAGACUCCUACGGGAGGCAGCAGUAGGGAAUCUUCCGCAAUGGGCGAAAGCCUGACGGAGCAACGCCGCGUGAGUGAUGAAGGUCUUCGGAUCGUAAAACUCUGUUAUUAGGGAAGAACAAAUGUGUAAGUAACUAUGCACGUCUUGACGGUACCUAAUCAGAAAGCCACGGCUAACUACGUG
Molecule: ribosomal RNA, 496 nt
Filed under: uncultured bacterium
Lineage: Bacteria
Description: partial 16S ribosomal RNA
Rfam family: Bacterial small subunit ribosomal RNA
Source: RNAcentral